This 279-nucleotide ribosomal RNA is filed under the name uncultured bacterium. RNAcentral describes it as "partial 16S ribosomal RNA". It matches the Rfam family "Bacterial small subunit ribosomal RNA", at positions 506 to 784 of the family's 1533-position model. The record is from RNAcentral.
UGCCAGCCGCCGCGGUAAGACGAAGGUGGCAAGCGUUGUUCGGUAUUACUGGGCUUAAAGCGUGUGUAGGCGGAUAAAUUAGCGUUUUGUGAAAUCCCUCGGCUUAACCGAGGAAUUGCUUGACGAACUGUUUAUCUUGAGGCAAGUAGGGGUGCACGGAACUCUUGGUGGAGCGGUGGAAUGCGUAGAUAUCAAGAGGAACGCCAGUGGUGAAGACGGUGCACUGGGCUUGUUCUGACGCUGAGACACGAAAGCGUGGGGAGCAAACAGGAUUAGAUA